AGGAGCAUGUGGUUUAAUUCGAUGAUACGCGAGGAACCUUACCUGGGCUCAAAUGUAUGUUGACGUAUUCUGAAAGGGAUACUUCUUCGGACAAUAUACAAGGUGCUGCAUGGUUGUCGUCAGCUCGUGCCGUGAGGUGUCGGGUUAAGUCCCAUAACGAGCGCAACCCCUAUCAUUAGUUGCCAUCAGGUUAAGCUGGGGACUCUAAAGGAACUGCCUACGCAAGUAGUGAGGAAGGCGGGGAUGACGUCAAAUCAGCACGGCCCUUACGUCCAGGGCUACACACGUGCUACAAUGGCCGAUACAGAGGGCAGCUACCUGGUGACAGGAUGCAAAUCUCCAAAGUCGGUCUCAGUUCGGAUCGGAGUCUGCAACCCGACUCCGUGAAGUUGGAUUCGCUAGUAAUCGCGCAUCAGCCAUGGCGCGGUGAAUACGUUCCCGGGCCUU
This 447-nucleotide ribosomal RNA is filed under the name uncultured Sphingobacteriales bacterium. Its description in RNAcentral is "bacterial SSU rRNA". It matches the Rfam family "Bacterial small subunit ribosomal RNA", at positions 933 to 1382 of the family's 1533-position model. Lineage: Bacteria; Pseudomonadati; Bacteroidota; Sphingobacteriia; Sphingobacteriales. The record is from RNAcentral.